Molecule: ribosomal RNA, 116 nt
Filed under: Bacteroides fragilis
Lineage: Bacteria; Pseudomonadati; Bacteroidota; Bacteroidia; Bacteroidales; Bacteroidaceae
Also listed under: 11 other names
Source: RNAcentral
GUUGGUGUUGAUUGCGGUGAGGGUCCACCCGUUCCCAUCCCGAACACGGAAGUUAAGCUCACCUGCGCCGAAAAUACUUGUCUGGAGACGGACCGGGAAGAUAGGUAACGCCGACA